UGAGUAACCUGCCCCAGACUCUGGGAUAACUUCGGGAAACCGGAGCUAAUACCGGAUACGACACGCGAAGGCAUCUUCUGCGUGUAGAAAGAUUUAUCGGUCAGGGAUGGGCUCGCGGCCUAUCAGCUUGUUGGUGGGGUAAUGGCCCACCAAGGCGACGACGGGUAGCCGGCCUGAGAGGGUGUCCGGCCACACUGGGACUGAGAUACGGCCCAGACCUCCGUACGGGGAGGCA
RNAcentral lists this ribosomal RNA (235 nucleotides) under uncultured bacterium. RNAcentral's name for it is "partial 16S ribosomal RNA". It matches the Rfam family "Bacterial small subunit ribosomal RNA", at positions 118 to 350 of the family's 1533-position model. The record is from RNAcentral.